Long non-coding RNA from Oncorhynchus tshawytscha (Chinook salmon), 2691 nucleotides. The record is from Ensembl. Lineage: Eukaryota; Metazoa; Chordata; Actinopteri; Salmoniformes; Salmonidae.
GGCUGAUGAACCCACUCCAUUUAAGCAUUCAAGCAAGCCUAUUUUUUUUUAGCAGUGUAUUCUAUUCAUUACGUUAUGCAUUAAUGUGAAUACAUCUUUCUGUCCCUUGCCACCACUAUAGCCUCCACUGGCAUGGUCCCAGUCCACACACUUAAAUUAUUUCUCGAGAUUAGAGGUCUAAAAUAUUAUUUUGUGUGGCCGCCGCCGGCCCGGCCUGGACGCAUGAUCACUCUGCCGGGUCUGGUUACCAUGCUCAAUCUUUCACCCAUGGGGCUGUGUGAGUGUGUGUUUCUCUGUGUCUGAACGUGUCUCUGUCUGUCUGUCUGCAUCUGAGCGCGUGUCUGUGUGUGUGUCUCUGUCUGUCUGUGUGUCUGUCUAUUUGUUUAUGUGUGUGUGGGUGGGUGGGUGCGUGUGUGUGUGUGCUUUUGUUUGCGUCUGUGACUCCUCUCUCACCCAGGUUGCUUCACUUUAAACCCAAGAACACUGCUGCCUGUCCAGGGUGGACACAACAAACGUGUGAUGUAAUUUCCUCCUCGGGGGGCAUCUGCUCGAGUCCUCAUGGUAGCAGCGGUAACAGGUGGGCUCAGCUUCAGAGGUUCCAGCAGUGUAGCAGGCACCAGGCAGUGUGGUCCCUGGACCCUGGAACAGCCUCAAUUCGUCCGGGCAUGAACUUUACAAGAUGUCGAAAAGCGUUCCACAGCGAUGCUGGCCCAUGUUGACUCCAAUGCUUCCCACAGUUGUGUCAAGUUGGCUGGAUGUCCUUUGGGUGUUUGACCAUUCUUCAUGCUCAAAGGAAACUGUUGAGUGUGUAAAAUCCAGCAGCAUUGCAGUUCUUGACAAACCAGUGUGCCUGGCACCUACUUCCAUACCCCGUUCAAAGGAUAACCUGCUGCUCACCAUUUACUUCCUGUGUAUGUCCCAAAUGGCACCCUAUUCCCUGUAUAGUGCAUUACGUUUGACGAGGGCCCGAAACAAUUGCACUAUAUAGGGAAAAGGGUGCCAUUUGGGACGCAACCCUGUUUUUCAACACUGACUUGGUGGAGGAGGGGAAAGUCGUGACAGAAACCGGAAGCAGGCCAAAGAGAAGGACAAUAGAAAAGUGUGUGUAAAUACCAGACUGAGGUACUGUAAAUUGGCUUGGUUUAGGCCAUCCAUACCACCUGUCUUCUAAAACAAAGCAAAGUCGACCUAGUACAUCAGAGGAGAUGAGCAGCAUGGAAAGACCUGAGCCCUAGGACCAUGCCUCAGGACUACCUGACAUGAUGACUCCUUGCUGUCCCCAGUCCACCUGGCCGUGCUGCUGCUCCAGUUUCAACUGUUCUGCCUGUGAUUACUAUUAUUUGACCAUGCUGGUCAUUUAUGAACAUUUGAACAUCUUGGCCAUGUUCUGUUAUAAUCUCCACCCGGCACAGCCAGAAGAGGACGGGCCACCCCACAUAGCCUGGUUCCUCUCUAGGUUUCUUCCUUGGUUUUGGCCUUUCUAGGGAGUUUUUCCUAGCCACUGUGCUUCUACACCUGCAUUGCUUGCUGUUUGGGGUUUUAGGCUGGGUUUCUGUACAGCACUUUGAGAUAUCAGCUGAUGUACGAAGGGCUAUAUAAAUACAUUUGAUUUGAUAACAUUUCAUUGGGUAUGUAUUAAUUUGUGGAUGUGCACCACCAAUUUCGUAUUAUAUGUUAUGAUCAUCAAGGACAACAACCACCCGAGCCACUGCCUGUUCACCCCGCUAUCAUCCAGAAGGCAAGGUCAGUACAGGUGCAUCAAAGCAGGGACUGAGAGACUGAAAAACAGCUUCCAUCUCAAGGCCAUCAGACUGUUAAACAGCCACCACUAACAUUGAGUGGCUGCUGCCAACAUACUGACUCAAUUCCAGCUCACUUCAAUAAUGGAAAUUGAUGUAAAAAAUGUAUCAGUAGCCACUUUAAACAAUGCCACUUAAUAUAAUGUUUACAUACCCUACAUUACUCAUCUCAUAUGUAUAUACUGUACUCUAUAUCAUCUACUGCAUCUUGCCAUCUUUAUGUAAUACAUGUAUCACUAGCCACUUUAAACUAUGCCACUUAAUAUAAUGUUUACAUACCCUACAUUUCUCAUAUGUAAAUACUGUACUCGAUACCAUCUACUGCAUCUUGCCUAUGCCGUUCUGUACCAUCACUCAUUCAUAUAUCUUUAUGUACAUAUUCUUUAUCCCUUUACACUUGUGUGUGUAUAAGGUAGUAGUUGUGGAAUUGUUAGGUUAGAUUACUCGUUGGUUAUUACUGCAUUGUCGGAACUACAAGCAUUUCGCUACACUCGCAUUAACAUCUGCGAACCAUGUGUAUGUGACAAAUAAAAUUUGAUUUGAACUACAAUUCGUAUUAUAUGUUACAAAUUUGCCAAAUGUACAAUAUGUUACAAAUGAGAAAAAUAUACAAUAUAUUACGUAUUUUCAAAAUGUAGUAUACGUUAUGAAUUCUUGCUAGGUAACUAACAUUAGCUAACUGAAUUAGGGGCUAAGGUUAAGUUUAGGAGUUAGGUUAAAUGAUUAAGGUUAGGUGAAUGAUUAGCUAACAUUCUAAGUAGUUGAAAAGUUGCUAAUUAGUCAGUGAUGGGAUUUGAACUCUCAACUGCUGGGCUGCUAGACGUUGGCGUUAUAUGCUAACCCAUCCAGCCUGACUAACCAUUUCUACCUUUGCAUUUUCCUUAAAGCAAAU